RNAcentral lists this long non-coding RNA (618 nucleotides) under Ananas comosus (pineapple). RNAcentral's name for it is "long non-coding RNA (ACOM_LNC038701)". Lineage: Eukaryota; Viridiplantae; Streptophyta; Magnoliopsida; Poales; Bromeliaceae. The record is from RNAcentral.
AUAAAUGGAACAGUGAUGGAGCCCUUGAGGAGGGAUGCUAAAUAUAUCAACUUAAAAUUUUAAAAUGAUAAAAAAAUAUUAAAUAUAAAAAUAUUUAAAUAUUGUUCUUUACUUGCUUAAGUUUUUAGAGAAUAACGACUGUUUCGUAUAAUUUAACAAAAUAUAGAUAUUUGAAAGUUAGAAAGACAAAUAAAAAAAUGUUAAUGACGAAAAAUUUUCUAUAUUUUAAACUAAAAAAUAUAACAGUGUAAACUAUUAAUAGAGCAAAUUUAUAAACUAGAAAAUGUUAAAUAAUCUUUUUUUUUCUUUUUCUUUUUUGAGAGGUAAGAACCAAAAUGGAGCUGUUAACCAAAUGGUAUUCAUAACCUUUCACAUUUCCCUCUUUUUUUUUUUUUUUUUUUUUUGGUAAACUUCAAAUACCACUAUGGUGGUCUCGCACUUUCUCACUUUAGUAUCUUUUAGUUUAAAGUAUAUUAAUUCAGUACCCUGUGGUAUCAUUUUUUUUUUUUUUGUCAGCUCCUCCGUUAACAUUUCGUUAAAUUAUAUACAAAAAAUUUCAGAUAGCCUACCUAGAUUUAUUAAAUAUUCACUUUUAGUACCUUUUAGUUUUACUUUUGU